RNAcentral lists this small RNA (115 nucleotides) under Oleiphilus sp. HI0043. RNAcentral describes it as "t44 RNA". It matches the Rfam family "t44 RNA". Rfam says of the family: This family consists of a number of bacterial RNA genes of between 135 and 170 bases in length. The t44 gene is found between the map and rpsB genes in all species in the full alignment apart from Shigella flexneri. The record is from Rfam by way of RNAcentral. Lineage: Bacteria; Pseudomonadati; Pseudomonadota; Gammaproteobacteria; Oceanospirillales; Oleiphilaceae.
UCUCGAUUGACUUAAAUCCGCACACGUUUCGACACAUUGAUCUGGGUGCUGUGUUCUGCUUCUGCUACGGUGGUUUUGGUUCAUGGUUGAUUAAUGGGACUCGUGGAGGUCUAAC